UGGGGAAUAUUGCACAAUGGGCGCAAGCCUGAUGCAGCCAUGCCGCGUGUGUGAAGAAGGCCUUCGGGUUGUAAAGCACUUUCAGCGAGGAGGAAGGUGGUGAGCUUAAUACGCUCAUCAAUUGACGUUACUCGCAGAAGAAGCACCGGCUAACUCCGUGCCAGCAGCCGCGGUAAUACGGAGGGUGCAAGCGUUAAUCGGAAUUACUGGGCGUAAAGCGCACGCAGGCGGUUUGUUAAGUCAGAUGUGAAAUCCCCGGGCUCAACCUGGGAACUGCAUUUGAAACUGGCAAGCUAGAGUCUCGUAGAGGGGGGUAGAAUUCCAGGUGUAGCGGUGAAAUGCGUAGAGAUCUGGAGGAAUACCGGUGGCGAAGGCGGCCCCCCUGGACGAAGACUGACGCUCAGGUGCGAAAGCGUGGGGAGCAAAACAGGAUUAGAUACCCUGGUAGUCCACGCUGUAAAACGAUGUCGAUUCGGAGGUUGUGCCCUUGAGGCGUGGCUUCCGGAGCUAACGCGUUAAAUCGACCGCCUGGGGAGUACGGCCGCAAGGUUAAAACUCAAAGGAAUUGACGGGGUCAUAGCUGUUUCCUG
Molecule: ribosomal RNA, 590 nt
Filed under: uncultured bacterium
Lineage: Bacteria
Description: partial 16S ribosomal RNA
Rfam family: Bacterial small subunit ribosomal RNA
Source: RNAcentral